UUUUAUGGAGAGUUUGAUCCUGGCUCAGGAUGAACGCUGGCGGCGUGCCUAAUACAUGCAAGUCGAGCGAACGGAUGAGAAGCUUGCUUCUCUGAUGUUAGCGGCGGACGGGUGAGUAACACGUGGAUAACCUACCUAUAAGACUGGGAUAACUUCGGGAAACCGGAGCUAAUACCGGAUAAUAUUUUGAACCGCAUGGUUCAAAAGUGAAAGACGGUCUUGCUGUCACUUAUAGAUGGAUCCGCGCUGCAUUAGCUAGUUGGUAAGGUAACGGCUUACCAAGGCAACGAUGCAUAGCCGACCUGAGAGGGUGAUCGGCCACACUGGAACUGAGACACGGUCCAGACUCCUACGGGAGGCAGCAGUAGGGAAUCUUCCGCAAUGGGCGAAAGCCUGACGGAGCAACGCCGCGUG
This 414-nucleotide ribosomal RNA is filed under the name Staphylococcus aureus. RNAcentral describes it as "bacterial SSU rRNA". It matches the Rfam family "Bacterial small subunit ribosomal RNA", at positions 1 to 403 of the family's 1533-position model. The record is from RNAcentral. Lineage: Bacteria; Bacillati; Bacillota; Bacilli; Caryophanales; Staphylococcaceae.